ACUCCUACGGGAGGCAGCAGUAGGGAAUUUUCCGCAAUGGACGAAAGUCUGACGGAGCAAUGCCGCGUGAGUGAUGAAGGUUUUCGAAUUGUAAAGCUCUGUUGUAAGGGAAGAAUAGCAAGAUAGGAAAUAUUCUUGNCUGACGGUACCUUACCAGAAAGCCACGGCUAACUACGUGCCAGCAGCCGCGGUAAUACGUAGGUGGCAAGCGUUAUCCGGAAUUAUUGGGCGUAAAGCGCAUGUAGGCGGCUUUUUAAGUCUGAUGUGAAAG
RNAcentral lists this ribosomal RNA (271 nucleotides) under uncultured bacterium. Its description in RNAcentral is "partial 16S ribosomal RNA". It matches the Rfam family "Bacterial small subunit ribosomal RNA", at positions 335 to 600 of the family's 1533-position model. The record is from RNAcentral.